RNAcentral lists this ribosomal RNA (440 nucleotides) under uncultured bacterium. RNAcentral's name for it is "partial 16S ribosomal RNA". It matches the Rfam family "Bacterial small subunit ribosomal RNA", at positions 338 to 795 of the family's 1533-position model. The record is from RNAcentral.
CCUACGGGUGGCAGCAGUGGGGAAUAUUGCACAAUGGGGGAAACCCUGAUGCAGCGAAGCCGCGUGAAGGAAGAAGUAUUUAGGUAUGUAAAAUUCUAUCAGCCGGGAAGCAAAUGACUGUACCUGACUAAGAAGCCCCGGCUAACUACGUGCCAGCAGCCGCGGUAACACGUAGGGGGCAAGCGUUAUCCGGAUUUACUGGGUGUAAAGUGAGCGUAGGCGGUUUAGCAAGUCAGAAGUGAAAGCCCGGGGCUCAACGCCGGGACUGCUUUUGAAACUGGUGAACGAGAGUGCAGGAGAGGUAAGUGGAAUUCCAGGUGUAGCGGUGAAAUGCGUAGAUAUUAGGAGGAACACCAGUGGCGAAGGCGACUUACUGGACUAUAAAUGACGCUGAGGCUCGAAAGCGUGGGGAGCAAACAGGAUUAGAUACCCUGGUAGUC